ACCUCGGCGGGAUGGUGGAGCAGACAACCUCAAACGUCACAAGUACCUGUCGACACUGCACAUGUGUUCACUUACUUCAUCUGAUACAGAUUAUUAGUGCCUCUGUGGUCAAUGUCAUGGCAGAAAGCAGCAGCGAGCAUGGCAAAAGCUUCAAGGGAAAUGUGCAGGUUUAUGAUUGACAGCGCUCUGGACCUACCAUCAGCAAAGUGAACAUGGUCUGCCCCACAUUGAAUCCGUGCCGCC
Molecule: long non-coding RNA, 243 nt
Organism: Myotis lucifugus (little brown bat)
Lineage: Eukaryota; Metazoa; Chordata; Mammalia; Chiroptera; Vespertilionidae
Exons: 3
Source: RefSeq, a predicted model, not a curated record